Molecule: ribosomal RNA, 447 nt
Filed under: uncultured bacterium
Lineage: Bacteria
Description: SSU rRNA
Rfam family: Bacterial small subunit ribosomal RNA
Source: RNAcentral
AGAGCGAACGCUGGCGGCAGGCUUAACACAUGCAAGUCGAGCGGGCGUAGCAAUACGUCAGCGGCAGACGGAUGAGUAACGCGUGGGAACAUACCUUUUGGUUCGGAACAACACAGGGAAACUUGUGCUAAUACCGAAUAAGCCCUUACGGGGAAAGAUUUAUCGCCGAAAGAUUGGCCCGCGUCUGAUUAGCUUGUUGGUGAGGUAACGGCUCACCAAGGCGACGAUCAGUAGCUGGUCUGAGAGGAUGAUCAGCCACAUUGGGACUGAGACACGGCCCAAACUCCUACGGGAGGCAGCAGUGGGGAAUAUUGGACAAUGGGCGCAAGCCUGAUCCAGCCAUGCCGCGUGAGUGAUGAAGGCCCUAGGGUUGUAAAGCUCUUUUGUGCGGGAAGAUAAUGACGGUACCGCAAGAAUAAGCCCGGCUAACUUCGCGCCAGCAGCCGC